ACCCCCUUGUAACAGAAUUAAGAGCUACUCAAAGGAGGUACAGCUCCUUUGACAGAGAGUACAACCUCCCCUAGCGGAUAACCACAUCUUUUUUUCCUGUGGGCCUUAAAGCAGCCACCAACAAAGAGUGCGUCAAAGCUCAUAACCCUAAAAAUCCAAAAAUACAUGCGACUCCCUUACCCACAGCGGACCAACCUAUAACAAUAGAAGAAUUAAUGCUAAAAUGAGUAACCUGAGACCAUCCCUCCAAAAGCGUAAACUUACAUUAAUACAUUAUUAACAGACCACCUAUACCUCCACCUUGACAAGAACCCGUAUACCCCUUCCCUGUUAAGCCAACUCAGGAACGCCUAACGGAUGAUUAAAACCUGUAAAAGGAACUCGGCAAACCCUAAGGCCCGACUGUUUACCAAAAACAUAGCCUUCAGCCAGCAACAAGUAUUGAAGGUGAUGCCUGCCCAGUGACAUUAAAGUUCAACGGCCGCGGUAUCCUAACCGUGCAAAGGUAGCGCAAUCAAUUGUCCCAUAAAUCGAGACUUGUAUGAAUGGCUAAACGAGGUCUUAACUGUCUCCUGCAGGUAAUCGGUGAAAUUGAUAUUCUCGUGCAAAAGCGGGAAUGUGAACAUAAGACGAGAAGACCCUGUGGAACUUAAAAAUCAACGACCACCUAAUCAAACAUUUUCCCCCAUACGGGCUCACCCAUUACCAUUAGCGCCUGGCCAGUAUUUUUCGGUUGGGGCGACCUUGGAGGAAAAAAAAUCCUCCAAACAACCCAGGCCACAACCCUUCACCAAGAGCUACCACUCAAAGUACUAAAAGUUACUAGACCCAAUACAAUUGACCAAUGGACCAAGCUACCCCAGGGAUAACAGCGCAAUCCCCUCCAAGAGCCCAUAUCGACAAGGGGGUUUACGACCUCGAUGUUGGAUCAGGACAACCUAAUGGGGCAACCCCUAUUAAGGGUUCCUUUGUUCAACGAUUAAAAGUUCUACGUGAUUCGAGUUCAGACCGGGGCAUU
This 1018-nucleotide ribosomal RNA is filed under the name Ortalis canicollis. RNAcentral describes it as "partial 16S ribosomal RNA". It matches the Rfam family "Bacterial large subunit ribosomal RNA", at positions 960 to 2625 of the family's 2925-position model. The record is from RNAcentral. Lineage: Eukaryota; Metazoa; Chordata; Aves; Galliformes; Cracidae.